CCGUAUUAGCUAGUUGGUAAGGUAACGGCUUACCAAGGCAACGAUACGUAGCCGACCUGAGAGGGUGAUCGGCCACACUGGAACUGAGACACGGUCCAGACUCCUACGGGAGGCAGCAGUAGGGAAUCUUCCGCAAUGGACGAAAGUCUGACGGAGCAACGCCGCGUGAGUGAUGAAGGUUUUCGGAUCGUAAAACUCUGUUAUUAGGGAAGAACAAAUGUGUAAGUAACUGUGCACAUCUUGACGGUACCUAAUCAGAAAGCCACGGCUAACUACGUGCCAGCAGCCGCGGUAAUACGUAGGUGGCAAGCGUUAUCCGGAAUUAUUGGGCGUAAAGCGCGCGUAGGCGGUUUCUUAAGUCUGAUGUGAAAGCCCACGGCUCAACCGUGGAGGGUCAUUGGAAACUGGGAAACUUGAGUACAGAAGAGGAAAGUGGAAUUCCAUGUGUAGCGGUGAAAUGCGCAGAGAUAUGGAGGAACACCAGUGGCGAAGGCGACUUUCUGGUCUGUAACUGACGCUGAUGUGCGAAAGCGUGGGGAUCAAACAGGAUUAGAUACCCUGGUAGUCCACGCCGUAAACGAUGAGUGCUAAGUGUUAGGGGGUUUCCGCCCCUUAGUGCUGCAGCUAACGCAUUAAGCACUCCGCCUGGGGAGUACGACCGCAAGGUUGAAACUCAAAGGAAUUGACGGGGACCCGCACAAGCGGUGGAGCAUGUGGUUUAAUUCGAGGCAACGCGAAGAACCUUACCAAAUCUUGACAUCCUUUGAAAACUCUAGAGAUAGAGCCUUCCCCUUCGGGGGACAAAGUGACAGGUGGUGCAUGGUUGUCGUCAGCUCGUGUCGUGAGAUGUUGGGUUAAGUCCCGCAACGAGCGCGACCCUUAAACUUAGUUGCCAGCAUUUAGUUGGGCACUCUAGGUUGACUGCCGGUGACAAACCGGAGGAAGGUGGGGAUGACGUCAAAUCAUCAUGCCCCUUAUGAUUUGGGCUACACACGUGCUACAAUGGACAAUACAAAGGGCAGCUAAACCGCGAGGUCAUGCAAAUCCCAUAAAGUUGUUCUCAGUUCGGAUUGUAGUCUGCAACUCGACUACAUGAAGCUGGAAUCGCUAGUAAUCG
This 1117-nucleotide ribosomal RNA is filed under the name uncultured bacterium. Its description in RNAcentral is "bacterial SSU rRNA". It matches the Rfam family "Bacterial small subunit ribosomal RNA", at positions 236 to 1344 of the family's 1533-position model. The record is from RNAcentral.